AACGAACGCUGGCGGCAGGCCUAACACAUGCCAGUCGAACGAAGUCUUCGGACUUAGUGGCGCACGGGUGAGUAACACGUGGGAAUAUACCUUACGCUGGGGGAUAACAUCGUGAAACUGAUGCUAAUACCGCAUACGCCCUUCGGGGGAAAGAUUUAUCGGCGAAAGAUUAGCCCGCGUCCGAUUAGCUAGUUGGUGAGGUAAUGGCUCACCAAGGCUCCGAUCGGUAGCUGGUCUGAGAGGAUGACCAGCCACACUGGGACUGAGACACGGCCCAGACUCCUACGGGAGGCAGCAGUGGGGAAUAUUGGACAAUGGGCGCAAGCCUGAUCCAGCCAUGCCGCGUGAGUGAUGAAGGCCUUAGGGUUGUAAAGCUCUUUCACCCACGACGAUGAUGACGGUAGUGGGAGAAGAAGCCCCGGCUAACUUCGUG
RNAcentral lists this ribosomal RNA (433 nucleotides) under uncultured bacterium. RNAcentral describes it as "partial 16S ribosomal RNA". It matches the Rfam family "Bacterial small subunit ribosomal RNA", at positions 29 to 507 of the family's 1533-position model. The record is from RNAcentral.